ACGGAAUUCUCACUUCCGGCGAGCGCUGGCAAGUGUCGUUCUGAAAUUUAAUAAGGAAAGAGAUAGGAAAACGCCGUUCGAAAGACGAAAAAUUGUUUUUUUAAAAAAUUUACGCUACCGACGGCUAUUUUUGGAAUUAAUUCUUCAAGAGUAUCGGUAAGCGAUCACUUUUAUUGAUUUCUUUUUAUUAAAAGUGUUAACAUAACAUUUUAUUUAGCAAAAGUUUGUUUUUUUCCCUAUCUAUUCCUUAUUAAAAUCGUGAAAUACACUUGCUGGGAAUUUCAGAUGCUCAUGUAUAAUAACAAAACAGCGAAUGAUAUAAAUGCCUCAAAACAUAACUCUGGCAUAAAAAAAACAUGAAUACUUCUAUAAUAUGUAUAGUUUUAUUUCUCUGCAUUAUCAAAAUUUAAUAAAAUAGUGAAUUAAUACAAUUUUAAAGUUUAUUUAAUCGGUGUGACAUAAUUUGCCGUGAGA
Molecule: non-coding RNA, 474 nt
Organism: Paramuricea clavata
Lineage: Eukaryota; Metazoa; Cnidaria; Anthozoa; Malacalcyonacea; Plexauridae
Source: the annotation of a GenBank genome assembly